RNAcentral lists this ribosomal RNA (499 nucleotides) under uncultured bacterium. RNAcentral describes it as "partial 16S ribosomal RNA". It matches the Rfam family "Bacterial small subunit ribosomal RNA", at positions 28 to 507 of the family's 1533-position model. The record is from RNAcentral.
GACGAACGCUGGCGGCGUGCCUAAUACAUGCAAGUCGAGCGAAGUUUUUCUGGUGCUUGCACUAGAAAAACUUAGCGGCGAACGGGUGAGUAACACGUAAAGAACCUGCCUCAUAGACUGGGACAACUAUUGGAAACGAUAGCUAAUACCGGAUAACAGUAUUUCUCGCAUGAGAGAUAUUUAAAAGUUGGUUAUGCUAACACUAUGAGAUGGCUUUGCGGUGCAUUAGCUAGUUGGUGGGGUAAAGGCCCACCAAGGCGACGAUGCAUAGCCGACCUGAGAGGGUGAUCGGCCACACUGGGACUGAGACACGGCCCAGACUCCUACGGGAGGCAGCAGUAGAGAAUCUUCCGCAAUGGGCGAAAGCCUGACGGAGCAACGCCGCGUGAGUGAAGAAGGAUUUCGGUUCGUAAAGCUCUGUUGUUAGGGAAGAAUGGAUAUGUAGUAACUAUACAUGUAAGAGACGGUACCUAACCAGAAAGCCACGGCUAACUACGUG